Galeopterus variegatus (Sunda flying lemur) is the source of this 344-nucleotide long non-coding RNA. RefSeq lists it as uncharacterized. The record is from RefSeq and is a predicted model, not a curated record. NCBI's taxonomy places the organism in Eukaryota, Metazoa, Chordata, Mammalia, Dermoptera, Cynocephalidae. The transcript is spliced from 2 exons.
UGAAGACUGCUGGCCUAGUGCAGUCCUGGCCCACCUCCUGCCUUCGGGCACUCAAACCCAGCCAGACAUUGAUGAACUAUGGAUUUCCUGGAAAGAAGCUUCUUUCCUUGCUGAAUUCAGCACACAUAUUGAGUACCUGCUGAUGCAAGGCUUUGGCCAGGAGAACUGCCUUACAGCGAGGGACGGUAACUCACCUGCCACUAUAGAGGGGAAGGCUGACUGGUGACAAAUUCAAAUACAGUACUUACAAUAAAAUAAAUAUUGUAUUAUAAGGAUAAGAAUGUAUGUUUAAAAGUGUUGUGAGCAAAAAGGAAAAGCACAAUAAAUUGUGAUUGAAGAAAUGU